Molecule: long non-coding RNA, 461 nt
Filed under: Danio rerio (zebrafish)
Lineage: Eukaryota; Metazoa; Chordata; Actinopteri; Cypriniformes; Danionidae
Description: lncRNA (ENSDARG00000097594.2)
Source: RNAcentral
CUUGGCUUCAUACGACGUGGUAAACCGGAUUACACAAACUCCAGCUCACCAGCAUUUCCCUUGUAGCUGCCAAUGGCAGAAGAAGAAAGCACGGGCACAGAGCCACACAGCCUGCUGUAAUCAGAUAACCUGUUUCAGCCUCUGUGGUGGCUUUUCUGCUCGAACGCGAGCCCUUCACAGCCCAGACGGAGACUGUAUAGAGAACGCCAGGCUUGAGACCCGUGAACCUGUAGGAGAUGCUGUCAGCUCCUACUCGAACCUCCUGGCCGGAGCCGUCUAGAGAGCUGUAUUUCAGCAUGUAGCCAUCAAUGUCAGCCUGCACCUUGUUCCACGUCACCGAAGCUGAGUCCUCUGUCACCUCUUGCGUUAAGAGGUUAGUAGGAGCGUCUAUAUCUAAAAAGCCAGUUGUACAACAGUGUUAAUGCUUUAAGCGGUUGUUCCUGUUGGUCUGCUUCAUGUUC